UUUUGCAACACAGGUCUGGGCCCUACGUGCUCCAGGCGGCACUGGCCAAGUCGAAGCCCGAGAACCCCCACUGCCGAGAUGUGAAGGCCGCUUCUGGGGUGGGGCUGAGGCUGCAGCUGCCUCCCUUUAGCACCAAGGACCCCAACCUUCAGCGACGCAGCCGCCCCUCCCGACCAGGCUGGAGGGACUGCAGGGAUCCGAUGCUUCUGGUGGCCAAAGAGCGACUUUCUCUGAUUCCAGGGCCCUGGCGGGGCAGGCUCCAGUACCGCACUCGGCGGACGCCGAAGGUCUGUGGGACAGGACAGGGGUUCCGCGUGCUGUCGGAAGGGCAGAGGACGAAGGAGGGCGCUAAUUCACUCCCCACGGGGCUGGCGGCGACUCCGAGUCCCGCAGUGACCGCGGAGGGCCAAGGUGCAGGCUACCCCAUGGAUGCCAUACGUGGCUCAACGGCCUAGCGGGGAGAAAAGAAGUGAUUCGGUCCCUGCCGAGGGUUGCUGCCACCCAGGCACUGCUGGCGGACUCAGUGCCAGACAACGUCUGGCCAGGCAAAGAUGGCCAGGCAACGUCUAACCCAGGAGGUGGGACGCAUCCUCGGAGUCACCAGUGAGAUGUGGCGAGCUGGGAGAAAAGUCGGGUUCCUGCAUUUGUCACCUUCUGCCUCCAGCCAUGGUAGUAAACCACCGCGGCCAGUCCCGACCGAUCCCGGACCCCUCAGGUCUCACCUGCAGGUCCUCCAGACCGUGGGCCGCCGCCAGCCCCGGAAGGCCGAGCGGAACUGCUUCACAGGAUUAAAGGAGAAACAGAAAAUGUAUCCAGCGCUGUGCUUGGUGCAUGGCAGGUAAUCAAUUAAUGCUUAUUAAAUACUGUAAAUGAUAAA
Molecule: long non-coding RNA, 877 nt
Organism: Rhinopithecus roxellana (golden snub-nosed monkey)
Lineage: Eukaryota; Metazoa; Chordata; Mammalia; Primates; Cercopithecidae
Exons: 3
Source: RefSeq, a predicted model, not a curated record